Molecule: long non-coding RNA, 1463 nt
Filed under: Capra hircus (goat)
Lineage: Eukaryota; Metazoa; Chordata; Mammalia; Artiodactyla; Bovidae
Description: lncRNA (ENSCHIG00000000895.1)
Source: RNAcentral
GGCUUGUUUUUUUAAACAGGAAUAUUCGUCCUUUACUAGACACACUUAAUGUUUACACACCAAUGUCAAAUAUACCCAGAGGUUGAUGUCCGUGUCCCAUCCAUUCCUCCCAUCCCUCCUCCCAUCCCGGGCUUCUCUUCCUGUCUUGUGCUGGGACAGCAUCUUUUUUUUUUUCUUUUUUAGCACCUUUAUUGACGAAUAAUUUCCGGCUUAUUUAAAGUUUAUGCUCUUGCUCGAAAGUCAGCGGGUCCUUAUUGAAUGUCUCCGUCCCGCCCUCAGCCCCUCACUUCCAGGUGUGCACCUUCCCAUGCCGAAAUGAUUACAUACAGACAUCAGAACAGGGGACAGUUUCUCUUCGUUGUACCAAAAUGGGUCUUUUAUUACACGGGGUUCUGCCUCUUGCUUUUCUCAUCUAACAGUAUCUUGGGGGACUCUCCAAGUUAUCGGCUUCUUCAUCUCUUUCUUGCUCGUUUCUCAGAGGUUUGGACUUACAUCUGUAAAGGGUCACGGGAACCGAAUUUCGGUGAGGAAUUCAAGACGUGACUUUCUGACUCAGAAAAGCCGAGGUGCCCGGCUUUGGAAGGGUCAGGGCUCCCAAAUUCGCUCCCCACUCUAGGACCUUUCCUGUUCGUAAAAUCGGGGCCGUUUAGGCCGUCCGGUGCCCUCUUGGGAGGCGGUGACACCAGGGUGACCCCCUCGGCCCCCACCCCACGUGCGUCUAGGUGACUCCCGGGCGGGUAGCCUUCUUCCCGGCGCACAUCGCCGGGGCCGCGCGCGAACCCCACCGGCGGCGUUAAUCAUUAGCAGCGCGCGAGCCCCGCCGCCGCCGUCGCAGCUUUUUACCCCGGGUUCCAGCUCGCAGUGCCGCGAGGUUUUCCCCGGCCCCCGCCAAGCCGCCAAUCGCGGGAUUCCAGCCGCCGGCCCGAGUCUCCACCCACUGGAAAAAUUCCUGGUCCGCCCUCCCAGUCUCCCUGCCCCCUCCCGAGGCUGCUCCAGCUCGGCUCGGCCCCGACUUCCUGCUGGGCACUGGGAAGGCGCGCGCGGGCUGGGGUCCCCGGGGGCCGCGCUCGCAGCUGGCCGCGCCCCGGCAGCCAAGGGGUUGGCGGUGGGCGGGAGCGGCCGGCAGUCUCGGCCCCUUCCCGGAGCGACUUUCAAACUUGCGCCUGCGUUGCGGCGGCACCUGGGUGGCUUCGCGCGCCUUGCGUUCCGGACCCGGUGGAGCAGCCGGUGCUCGGAGUUGUGUCAUCCAGUUUCCAAGCCUACAACUGAAAGGCAGCAGCAAAGGAGAGUAUAAAGAGACCAAUGUAGAGAAGAAAAGUGACCACAGUGCAAUGACAGUUGAUGGAGUGGAUGGAGAACAAGACUCCGUGGAAAAUAGGCAUGAGUGUGAGAGCCAGGGGUCAUUAUUUAUGUCGGGGGAGUGGCUUGGCACACCUUGGCCUUGGGGGGCAUCGUCAUUUUGA